AUGGGGUUGAAGCUCAGUGGUAGAGUGCUUGCCUAUCAUGUGUGAGGCACUGGGUUCAGUCCUCAGCACCACAUA
RNAcentral lists this transfer RNA (75 nucleotides) under Marmota monax (woodchuck). RNAcentral describes it as "tRNA.Asp". The record is from RNAcentral. Lineage: Eukaryota; Metazoa; Chordata; Mammalia; Rodentia; Sciuridae.